GUACCCGUAGCUUAAUGGAUAGAGCGCAGCCCUGCGGAGGCUGAAGUUGAGCGUUCGAAUCGCUCCGGGUACGCAA
This 76-nucleotide transfer RNA is filed under the name Candidatus Amesiibacteriota bacterium. RNAcentral describes it as "Candidatus Amesbacteria bacterium (hot springs metagenome) tRNA-Arg". It matches the Rfam family "tRNA". From Rfam's summary of the family: Transfer RNA (tRNA) molecules are approximately 80 nucleotides in length. Their secondary structure includes four short double-helical elements and three loops (D, anti-codon, and T loops). Further hydrogen bonds mediate the characteristic L-shaped molecular structure. tRNAs have two regions of fundamental functional importance: the anti-codon, which is responsible for specific mRNA codon recognition, and the 3' end, to which the tRNAs corresponding amino acid is attached (by aminoacyl-tRNA synthetases). tRNAs cope with the degeneracy of the genetic code in two manners: having more than one tRNA (with a specific anti-codon) for a particular amino acid; and 'wobble' base-pairing, i.e. permitting non-standard base-pairing at the 3rd anti-codon position. The record is from RNAcentral. Lineage: Bacteria; Candidatus Amesiibacteriota.